RNAcentral lists this long non-coding RNA (236 nucleotides) under Elaeis guineensis (African oil palm). RNAcentral's name for it is "long non-coding RNA (EGUI_LNC023569)". The record is from RNAcentral. Lineage: Eukaryota; Viridiplantae; Streptophyta; Magnoliopsida; Arecales; Arecaceae.
GAUAUGUACAUUUAUUAGAAGGAAAAUGUGCUGUUAUGGUCAUUUUCUGACCACCAUGAUAAUAAAUUGUCGGGCACUCCAUGACAAUGUUUUUAAAUAUGGCUUACCAUCAGAAUCUAAUCAAUCCAUAUAUGAUAGUAUAAUGGGAAGCAAACAUGGUUAUUGAUGUGUAGCAUCAUGGCUAAUGGAACAAACAGGGAUUUGGCCUAGAAGACUGAAACCAAAUUUGAAAGAAA